UACGUAGGGAGCAAGCAUUAUCCGGAUUUAUUGGGCGUAAAGUGUGCGUAGGUUUUUCUUCAAGUCUUCAUUUAAAUUUCGGGGCUUACCCUCGAGUCUGGUGGAGAUACUGGAGAAAUAGAGGAUUGAUAGGGAUGCUAGAACAGUUAGUGUAGCAGUGAAAUGCGUUGAUAUUAACUGGAAUACCAAAGGCGAAGGCAGGCAUCUGGGUUUUUCCUGACACUGAGGCACGAAAGCUAGGGUAGCGAAA
RNAcentral lists this ribosomal RNA (250 nucleotides) under uncultured bacterium. RNAcentral's name for it is "partial 16S ribosomal RNA". It matches the Rfam family "Bacterial small subunit ribosomal RNA", at positions 524 to 773 of the family's 1533-position model. The record is from RNAcentral.